Molecule: long non-coding RNA, 3771 nt
Organism: Equus caballus (horse)
Lineage: Eukaryota; Metazoa; Chordata; Mammalia; Perissodactyla; Equidae
Source: Ensembl
AAACAGUGCUUUUCUAUUUAAAUUUAAUCUGGGUCCUUGAGAAUGAGUUUCGCUGAUCCUUUUGUAACCCUGGAGACUUACCUCGAGGCAAACUUCGAAUGUGGGAGGAAAUGUUGCUGAGUUCACUUGUCUCCAGUGCUCGCCGCAGGAGACCUCGGGGAGCGUUCCAGAGAAGUGUUUGUUCCCGGUGUUUCUAGAGCGUGUGCCGUGUGCUGUGUGUCCUGUACAGCACAAAACCGAGGGGCCGAAUUCCUGCACCCCGGAGCUUCCGUUCCAGUGGGAGACGGACAGUCCACCCACAAACGGUCACGGAGCAGAGAACUAAAGGAAGUGGUGGUUGAGCUAAGAUGACGUCCCAGCAGAGUUCCAGGUGGAGGGAACGGUGCAUGCAAAGGCCCUGGGGCAGCAGCAGCUGGGGCAGUCAAGGAAUAGCAAGAAGAUGUGAAUGGGGAGGAGCGGAAGGAGAGGAGCUCAGCUUUAGAGGGACCUCGGAGCCCGUGCUGCAGGUGAACAACACAGGGACUCGACACUUAUUUACACUGCAAAGGGAUCAGCUGGUAACACUAGCUCCCAUCUGUCACCGUGAAGUUCCUGCACGGUUGGUGACUGCGUCCCCCACGCCACGCGCUCCGGCCCUGGACUGACUCACGGUGACGGGGGCCGUGCCUCUGGGGCCCCGCGCCCACCCCACCCUUCCCCGCCCCGCGACCACCAGUUUGUUCUCCGUGUGUAUGGGCCUGUUUCAGUUUCGUGUUAUUUGCCGGUUUAUUUUGUGUUUCUAGAUUCCCCGUGUAGGUGAAAUCACACGUCCUGUGUCCCCGGGACGUCCCAGCAGAGAGGGGACAAGCUUCCGUCGUGCUGGGUGCUGCCUGGAGGUGGCGGCCUCGACGCACGUGGGAGGUAGACCCGUCGGGUGUACCAACUGCCUGGAAGCAGGGACACCCGAAGGCUCUGAGCUGCAAGUGAAAAGCUUAGACCCCCGUAAGCGACGUUUAUCAGGCCACCGAGGCGGGGCGGCAGGUGCAGAGCCCGUGCUUCUGGGCCAGGGCCGGGCUGCAGGGCCGAGUUCAGGCCUCACGGGGUGGCCGGGUGCACAGCCCGUGGGCCUGGACGGGGCUGCCGGGAGCCGGGGCACCGUGUGGAACGGGCACUCGCGGCCGAGCCAGCUCGGGGUUGGGGCUCAGAGCUCAGGAGCCGCGGUUGGCGCCCUGGGUCCGCGUCAGCUCCCCUCUCCCUCCCGGGGACCGGGGGCCAGUGUCCUAACCGCCCUCCGCCUCUAUGUCCCCGUCUCGAAAUGGGACUAGCCCGGGCAGCAGGUGCCUCGUGUGAGCGAGGGUGACGGGAGGUGGUGACGGCAUGCGGGAAGCCCGGUUCGUGGUGCCCGGCCUCCCCAGUCCAGCUCCACCCGCUGGGGGCGCGGGCCUCGCAGGCGGCCUGCACGGAGGGGAAGGGGCUCCAGUCGGAGGCAGGAGCCACUCUGGGGUCAGAGCGUGCUCGGGGCCAGGAGACGGAGCAGAGGGAAGCGGAGGCCAGAGGCAGCUGGGGGCCAGCAGGCCUGGUCAGGGGCCGAGCUGGCUGCCAGGCCCUGUCUCUGGGGCUUCAGUGACCGGGAGCCACAGAGAGUGUCCAGUGGGGAGUGACAAGGCCAGCAGCAGCUCACUCUUCAAACCUGGCGUGUGCCAAAUGCCCAGCAUGUGCUGCCGACUGAGUCAGGUGAAGGGGCUCAUUGUUCAGAUGGCCCUUGAGCCUUAGUCCUGCCCACCCUUGUCCCAAUCUUAGCCACCAUUGCCCAUGUGGCUGUCUCGUGAGCGUUUACAAGAGAUUUGGGGACAUCGUUGUCUCAUGUGACCCUCGUGUUGAGGGUCAUGAAACAGAGGUGGGACAUGGGAAGGAUCUGAAAAGAGUUUGGAAUGAGGCUGAGAGAGGUUAAGUAACUUUCCAAAAGUAACACAGCAAGCAAAUAGGGCAGCAGAGUAUAAACUCGAGUCAGCAUCUCCCAGGAUGGAAGACCAGGGACUGUGAGGAGCCCACCCGGGGCAAGGAGAGCAGCCCCCAGCCAUUAAGCACCUACUGUGUGCCCGGCCUGGUGCGACUCAUGGACAGACACCUUUGUACUUCAUUCUGCCCAUGGGCACACUGACUCCCAGUUACAGGUGAGGAAACUGAGGCUGGGGGGUGGGGCUUGUCCAGGUGCCUUGGAGCCUGGGUCCACUGGGGCCUACCAAGCUCCUGCUGCAUCUAGGAAGCCCGCCCCGUCCGUCCGUGACUGGAGACCCCCUGGGAGGCAGCGUGGGUCCUGGAGGGGAUGCUAGCCUGGGAACUGACGGCUCCUGCUGGCGCAGUGGCCCCAGGCAUGUCUCCUGUCCUCAUCUGUGUGUUGGGGGGUUAUGUCGACCUUCUGGGCAGUUGUGGGGUACGGCAGCCCUGCCACCAAGGCCGGUGCCCAGUGGGGUGGUUCUCUUGUGCAGGCACAGACCCGCCCUCCCCACCCAGUUCUUCCUUUUCAAAGUCCAGCUCUGCCCCCAGCUGUGGGAACCAGGGAUGACCCUGCGCCCCGUUGCUGGGGCUGGAAGAUGGGGUCAUGGUGGUGAGUACCCCAUGCGGUUGUUGUGAGGAUGGAAUGAGCACACGUGGGCGUGAGCCAGUCCAGGUGUGUACCUGCCUCCAUCCUGAGGACACCUGAGCCCCACUCACUGCUGCUCCACCUGCCGUGAGGCCUUCUCCUCCCUGCCUGCCCAGCCCCCCAUCCUCCCGCAGCACCUCCUCCACCAGGCCUCCCUGAUUGCCCCAAUUGGCCCUGGCUGGUCUGGUUCUCUGCGGACCCUGCUGGGAGGGGAGAUCACUUGCCCCUCCUGUGUCCCCAGCACCUCGAAGGGGGCCAGAGAUCCAAGAGGCGCUCACUUGAGGGACGAUUAAUGAGUGAACAGAGCUGGCUCAGGGAUGUCGCCAAGGGGAGGGUAGGGGCCCCAGCCCGGGGCGUCCACACAGCCUCCCUGUGCCCAGUGACAGAGCAGCCCCUGAGCUCACUCCCUUCUCCAUCGCCCUCUGCAGAGCAGACUCAGCAGGAUCGAUACCCCGAGGCCCGCUGACCCGGCACUGGCUGUGAGAACCGUCAGACCUGAGCUGAGGGUGCACGCCAGUCCCCAGACGCGGGUCCAGAGCCUGGCUCCUCGCUUUUGCCGCUGUGGCCCAGGCAAAGCCUUGGGGCCCCUGAGCCCCUGCUGCCCCAUCUGUAAAAUGGGGGUGGUUAACCCGACCUCCUGGGCAGUGGGGAGGGUGAAGCAAGCACCGUCCCUGACGCGCUGAGCAGAGGGCUGGCACGCGGGCUCGAUCGGCCGCUGUGGGUGGUGGCUAAGAAGCACCCGGACCCCGGCCCUGUACCGGCCCUGGCUGAUGUCGCGUCCAGCCUUGCUGUCGAGGGGCUUGUGGCACAUUUGGGAAGAUGCACGGGGGGCACCCCCGCCCUAUCACGGCGCAGCCUCCCUUGAGGUGCACGUGGGGCUGGAGGAGCCUGGCGGGGCCCUCACAGGGUUGACAUCAGGGACGGCCCCUGGAGGAUGCGUGUGGGGUGGCCAGCGGGGCCCGAGCUGGCCGCUCCAGCCAGAACGAGAGCAUUCCAGAGGCUGGCAGCCCAGCAAUCACAGCCGUCCGGGCGCUGAGCGGCGGAGGCCGGACACGGGGCGGGGGACCACUGGGUCCUGCCAAAGCCCUGGGGAAUUCUUUUCUGAGGGUGACAAGGAGCGUUUGGAGAUUUUUAAGCAGAGAAACGGC